ACCACAGGGGGAGCUGGCUGUUGUGUCUCUGCUCCCCCUCCCCUGUGCGCCGACACUCCGGCCCUGAGUGUCCGGCCCGCAGGGGAGGGGGAGCAGAGACACAACAGUCAUCUCC
Pelobates cultripes (western spadefoot toad) is the source of this 115-nucleotide non-coding RNA. Lineage: Eukaryota; Metazoa; Chordata; Amphibia; Anura; Pelobatidae. The record is from the annotation of a GenBank genome assembly.